RNAcentral lists this transfer RNA (76 nucleotides) under bacterium. RNAcentral's name for it is "tRNA-Cys". It matches the Rfam family "tRNA". Rfam says of the family: Transfer RNA (tRNA) molecules are approximately 80 nucleotides in length. Their secondary structure includes four short double-helical elements and three loops (D, anti-codon, and T loops). Further hydrogen bonds mediate the characteristic L-shaped molecular structure. tRNAs have two regions of fundamental functional importance: the anti-codon, which is responsible for specific mRNA codon recognition, and the 3' end, to which the tRNAs corresponding amino acid is attached (by aminoacyl-tRNA synthetases). tRNAs cope with the degeneracy of the genetic code in two manners: having more than one tRNA (with a specific anti-codon) for a particular amino acid; and 'wobble' base-pairing, i.e. permitting non-standard base-pairing at the 3rd anti-codon position. The record is from RNAcentral.
GGUGGCGUAGUCAAGUGGUUAAGACGAUGGUUUGCAAAACCAUUAUUCAUCGGUUCGAAUCCGAUCGCCACCUCCA